This 1497-nucleotide long non-coding RNA is filed under the name Equus caballus (horse). RNAcentral's name for it is "lncRNA (ENSECAG00000058111.1)". The record is from RNAcentral. Lineage: Eukaryota; Metazoa; Chordata; Mammalia; Perissodactyla; Equidae.
GGGAGAAUGACUUAUAAAAGGCUACACAGUAUCUGUGGUAGCCAGCCUCCAAGAUGGUCCCCAGGGAUCCUGCCUGCUGGUGUUCAUACCCUUGUGUAGCCCCCUGGCACGCUGAAUCAGGGUGGUCUUUGUGACCCGUAGAGUAUGGCAGAGGUGACAGUGUAUAGUUUCUGAAGCUAGGUCAUAAAGGGCACUGUGGCUUCUGCCUUGCUCUGUUGGGUCACUGGCUGAGAGGAAGCUAGCCACCAUGUUGUGAGCUAUCCUGUGGAGAACUCCACACGAAGAGGAACUGAGGCCUCCCACCCACAGCCAGCACCAACGUGCCAGUCAUAUGAGGGCGCCAUCUUGGAUCUUCCAGCCCCAGUCAAGCCUUCAGAUGGCUGCAGCCCAGGCCAGCAUAUGAUUGUAACCUCAUGAGAGACCCUAAGCCAGAACUGCUAGCCAAGCCACUCCUGAAGUCCUGAUCCAUGGAAACUGUGAAAGACAAUAUAUGCUUAUUCUUAUUUUAAGCUGCUAAUUUGGGGGUAAUUUGUUCCCAGCAACAGAUAAGUAAGAUAGUCUUCAUUGAUUAAGCAAAUAUCCAAUGAGCCAAACCUCCUGUGCUUUCAGUAACCCUUUAAAGGAACUCCUUUAAAAAAUUAUCUUGAAAGUAUCUACUCACACCUGAAAAAAGGGCCUCCAUUGUGGUGAAUGACUAAGACAUGGUUUGGGCUAAGGACUGCGAGGACUUCAAGGUCCCUCCAGGGUCUGAGGUCCCAGGACUGGGCCAGGGUGGGGAGCUGCUGCUGACUCAGUUGAUCUCCAUAGCCCUUCUCCUGCUAAAACUGCAAUCAGAGCCUUCCAGGAACCUGACUCCCAUUCCUUGCUCCCUCCAUAUCGGGCGACAGAACGUGAUAGCGAGAAGCCCAAGCUUUGAGGUCAAGCAGGCCUGUGUUCAAACCCUGGCUGCUCCUCUUCCAAAUCCGUGGGACCUUGAACAAGCAGCUGCACUUCUCUGAAUCCCAGUUUCCUCAUCAGAAAAAUCAGAGAACCGAUGCCUUGCUCAUAGGUUGUUGUAUAAAGCGGAAAUAACACUUGCCCUGUAACUGUGACCCUUGGGAAACACUCAAGAGGCAGGUAGUGAUCAUCAAACCACAGACUGGCGGGUGCUCCCAGGGCUGUUGGGGACCAUUGUCCCCCUCACCGAGGCUGAGGUUUGGUCCUAUUCGGCUGCCCCGUGUGCUGCUGCACCCCGUCCUGGCUCGGCCGCGCCCUGACGGCGAGUUUGAAGGGCCAAGUGAGCAUAUGGCCUCAUGACAGAACUUGGUUGGAGACAGGUCUGCUUCCUCUCCCUCGUUAGUGUCGCCCGGGGGCCUCGCCCUCCUUAGCAGAGGCCUGGAUAACGAAGGCCACAGCCUAUUAAUUGCGCUGACAGUGAUAAAGGAAGAGGGGGAGGCUGCUAUUUGUCUUGCCCGUAACCUCUCGCAUCAUUCCAAGAUGAAUGAAAACUCAUUUUCU